CCAGAGGCGGGCUUCAGCUGGUCUCUAAAUAAAAAUAUAUACUAGUUAUGUGAAAAUGGACGUCACACUUAACUUAGAUAAAAAAAAAACACAUAAAAAACUAACAAAGACCGGAUUCUCCUGACUUGGGACAGGCGCAAAAAUGCGGCGGGGUUAAACAUGCUUUGUGAGAUCUCAACCCUCCAACUAUUCAACUAUAGCCAGCUAAUGUAAAAUAAACAAACACACACAAAUAUGUACAGAAAAACUCAGUUUAAAAGAAAUCCGAGUCCGAUGUCAGAAAAGUAAACAAAAGAAACUACGCA
RNAcentral lists this long non-coding RNA (305 nucleotides) under Mytilus galloprovincialis (Mediterranean mussel). The record is from RNAcentral. Lineage: Eukaryota; Metazoa; Mollusca; Bivalvia; Mytilida; Mytilidae.